GUCCAUUGCCGACCUUGGCCGCGCCUGCGGCAUCGCAACCGAUACCGCGGGCAGAUGCAGGUGCCGACGCGAGCGCCACGGAUACUAUUGCUGCGCCAAGUAUGAUCUUGAUCAUUUUUCAGUUUCCCAUGUUCGCCUGACAGGAUUGUGAGGCGCAAAACAAUUGCCUCAAUCCGCUAUUGCCGACGAACACAAGCUGUUGCGCUCUCAGGAACUUGAUCGAUGGAGAGACGGCGUGAAGGCAGUGCUAAGCAAAUCCGUUGCGACGGUCAGCCGAUCUUUUUCAGGCCCGCCUUGAAGC
This 301-nucleotide unclassified non-coding RNA is filed under the name Hevea brasiliensis (rubber tree). Lineage: Eukaryota; Viridiplantae; Streptophyta; Magnoliopsida; Malpighiales; Euphorbiaceae. The record is from RNAcentral.